RNAcentral lists this ribosomal RNA (155 nucleotides) under uncultured Flavobacteriales bacterium. RNAcentral's name for it is "partial 16S ribosomal RNA". It matches the Rfam family "Bacterial small subunit ribosomal RNA", at positions 332 to 484 of the family's 1533-position model. The record is from RNAcentral. Lineage: Bacteria; Pseudomonadati; Bacteroidota; Flavobacteriia; Flavobacteriales.
AUUACUCCUACGGGAGGCAGCAGUAAGGAAUAUUGGUCAAUGGACGAAAGUCUGAACCAGCCAUGCCGCGUGAAGGAUGAAUGCCCUCUGGGUUGUAAACUUCUUUUAUAUGGGACGAAAAAAGAUCUUUCUAGAUCACCUGACGGUACCAUAUG